GGCGGGCUGGACCUCUCGGGGUUACAGCCUUGCUGAAUUAUUCACCCUUGUCUUUUGCGUACUUCUUGUUUCCUUGGUGGGUUCGCCCACCACUAGGACAAACAUAAACCUUUUGUAAUUGCAAUCAGCGUCAGUAACAAAUUAAUAAUUACAACUUUCAACAACGGAUCUCUUGGUUCUGGCAUCGAUGAAGAACGCAGCGAAAUGCGAUAAGUAGUGUGAAUUGCAGAAUUCAGUGAAUCAUCGAAUCUUUGAACGCACAUUGCGCCCUUUGGUAUUCCAAAGGGCAUGCCUGUUCGAGCGUCAUUUGUACCCUCAAGCUUUGCUUGGUGUUGGGCGUCUUGUCUCUAGCUUUGCUGGAGACUCGCCUUAAAGUAAUUGGCAGCCGGCCUACUGGUUUCGGAGCGCAGCACAAGUCGCACUCUCUAUCAGCAAAGGUCUAGCAUCCAUUAAGCCUUUUUUUCAACUUUUGACCUCGGAUCAGGUAGGGAUACCCGCUGAACUUAAGCAUAUCAAUAAGCGGAGGA
This 527-nucleotide small RNA is filed under the name Alternaria tenuissima. RNAcentral's name for it is "eukaryotic LSU rRNA". The stretch from base 153 to 306 matches the Rfam family "5.8S ribosomal RNA". Lineage: Eukaryota; Fungi; Ascomycota; Dothideomycetes; Pleosporales; Pleosporaceae. The record is from RNAcentral.